UAAACUUUGUGUAUAUUGAGUAGGGACUAGCUGUUUGAUUACUUGAUAAUUUCUUGGUUGACUGAGUUGAUAUUAGUUAUGUUUUUGGCUUGUUAUAAAGUGAAUUGAUUGUGAUGUGUCGUGAAGUGAAUUGAUUGUGAUGUGUUGUGAAGUGAAUUGAUUGUGAUUAAGGAUUGAUGACUUUUGUAUGGAUAUUGUGUGAUCGGAAAAGCUGAGCCGGGCGGAUAGCUACCCGAGUAUGUGAGAUGGCAAGACUGAGCCGGGCGGAUAGUCUUGUCAAGUGGUUACUGAAAUUUAAAAAUGUGAGUAAAUGUAAGGAUGAGUCAUCUGAUCCUAAUUUGAUAGAAAUAAUGUGGAAUUGAAUUAUUUGACUUGGUUGAGUUUGAGAUUAUUUGCAUUACAUGAGAUGAAAUUAUAUGUUUAUGAGAAUAACUGAAAUGGUUGAUUUUGUGAUUGUUAGUUAAGUGUUGGUAUAAUUUUCUGUAUUGAUAAAGAUUUGAUAAUUCUAGCCUAAUAUACUAUAGUUUAGUAAAUUAAAUGCUUAUUGAGUCGCUAGCUCAUUCCUUAGCAAAUUUUUUUUUCAGGUUAGUGCAGUUGUAGAUAGCCUUAGCUGUGCAUUGCUCUCUUUGCAUCAGUCAAUAUUAUCAGGUGGGCCAGAGGAGUUAUCUAAA
This 671-nucleotide long non-coding RNA is filed under the name Ricinus communis (castor bean). RNAcentral's name for it is "long non-coding RNA (RCOM_LNC001561)". The record is from RNAcentral. Lineage: Eukaryota; Viridiplantae; Streptophyta; Magnoliopsida; Malpighiales; Euphorbiaceae.